GGGGAAUAUUGGACAAUGGGGGGAACCCUGAUCCAGCAAUGCCGCGUGUGUGAAGAAGGCCUGAGGGUUGUAAAGCACUUUCAGUGGGGAGGAGGGUUGACUGGUUAAGAGCUGGUUGACUGGACGUUACCCACAGAAGAAGCACCGGCUAACUCCGUGCCAGCAGCCGCGGUAAUACGGAGGGUGCGAGCGUUAAUCGGAAUUACUGGGCGUAAAGGGUGCGUAGGUGGUUUGAUAAGUUAUCUGUGAAAUUCCUGGGCUUAACCUGGGGUGGUCAGGUGAGACUGUUGGACUUGAGUACGGGAGAGGGCAGUGGAAUUUCCGGUGUAGCGGUGAAAUGCGUAGAGAUCGGAAGGAACACCAGUGGCGAAGGCGGCUGCCUGGCCUGAUACUGACACUGAGGCACGAAAGCGUGGGGAGCAAAC
RNAcentral lists this ribosomal RNA (425 nucleotides) under uncultured bacterium. Its description in RNAcentral is "bacterial SSU rRNA". It matches the Rfam family "Bacterial small subunit ribosomal RNA", at positions 356 to 773 of the family's 1533-position model. The record is from RNAcentral.